RNAcentral lists this ribosomal RNA (490 nucleotides) under uncultured bacterium. RNAcentral describes it as "partial 16S ribosomal RNA". It matches the Rfam family "Bacterial small subunit ribosomal RNA", at positions 30 to 507 of the family's 1533-position model. The record is from RNAcentral.
AUUGAACGCUGGCGGCAGGCCUAACACAUGCAAGUCGAACGGUAACAGGAAGACGCUUGCUUCUUUGCUGACGAGUGGCGGACGGGUGAGUAAUGUCUGGGAAACUGCCUGAUGGAGGGGGAUAACUACUGGAAACGGUAGCUAAUACCGCAUAACGUCGCAAGACCAAAGAGGGGGACCUUCGGGCCUCUUGCCCUCGGAUGUGCCCAGAUGGGAUUAGCUAGUAGGUGGGGUAACGGCUCACCUAGUCGACGAUCCCUAGCUGGUCUGAGAGGAUGACCAGCCACACUGGAACUGAGACACGGUCCAGACUCCUACGGGAGGCAGCAGUGGGGAAUAUUGCACAAUGGGCGCAAGCCUGAUGCAGCCAUGCCGCGUGUAUGAAGAAGGCCUUCGGGUUGUAAAGUACUUUCAGCGGGGAGGAAGGGAGUAAAGUUAAUACCUUUGCUCAUUGACGUUACCCGCAGAAGAAGCACCGGCUAACUCCGUG